RNAcentral lists this ribosomal RNA (454 nucleotides) under uncultured bacterium. RNAcentral describes it as "bacterial SSU rRNA". It matches the Rfam family "Bacterial small subunit ribosomal RNA", at positions 917 to 1382 of the family's 1533-position model. The record is from RNAcentral.
GGGCCCGCACAAGCAGCGGAGCGUGUGGUUUAAUUCGAUGCAAAACGAAGAACCUUACCAAGGCUUGACAUGUUGGAAGUAGUGAACCGAAAGGGGAACGAACUGUUAAAUCAGUAGCCAUCACAGGUGCUGCAUGGCUGUCGUCAGCUCGUGCCGUGAGGUGUUUGGUUAAGUCCUGCAACGAGCGCAACCCUUAUGGCCAGUUAUAUUCUCUGGCAAGACUGCCUCGCACAACGGGGAGGAAGGUGGGGAUGACGUCAAGUCAGCACGGCCCUUAUGCCUUGGGCUACACACACGCUACAAUGGGUGGUACAAUAGGUUGCAAUAGAGCGAUCUGGAGCUAAUCCUAAAAGCCAUCCUCAGUUCAGAUUGCAGGCUGAAAUUCGCCUGCAUAAAGGUGGAGUUGCUAGUAAACGCAGGUCAGCAUACUGCGUUGAAUACGUUCUCGGGCCUU